GCAGUCUUAUUGAUGUUCUUUUGUGCACUGUGUAUAUUAGAUCUACAUAUUACACUUAAGUAAUAGUACCCCGAGCUCGUCCGAGAAACAACACGAGAUAGAAAUCCGAACAGUUCAUCAAAAGGUCAGUGCUUGGUUCCGAUCAGAAGUCUAAUCGCACUGCCCUACAUCGCAAGUCCAGCGUAUUCCAGCGCCAUCAUGAAGACAGUAUUCUUCAUUCUCUCUUUGGUUGUUUUGAUUGUUUGGGAUUACUCUGGAGAUGUCUGGGUUUCUGGUACGGAUGAAGUCGUUGUGGCUUACCAAGGUCCCUACCACGCACACAAAGAAUUCGUGACCAACUACUUCAAAAACUUCAAAUGCCCCCCCAAAAAAGGUGAUCCUUUUGUAUGCAAUGAGACUUACCCCACUGCUAAGUACUGUGUGUUUGGCAGACGUGGAUCCGGCAUCCUCUGCUCCGGAUGCAGAAUUCAAUACGAAAUCUGCGCCCACGAAGUUAUGAUUGACGAGAAAUCUACUAGAUGUAGCCCAAAUGUGAGCUCAACUGAAUGUACUUUCAAUAACACCGAUGUCCCAUUAGUGAUGUAAAUAUUGAGGUGAACUGCCACACAACGGCAUGGCUGCCUCAAUGAGAUGGAAUGAACCUUGAAGCCGUGUGUCUGCAUUGUUGACCACUAAUUGAUCAAUAAAAUGUUUUACGUUAUAGAAUUAAA
This is an RNA transcript of Biomphalaria glabrata, 710 nucleotides long. It is a transcript of the gene named schistosomin-like, with no coding region annotated. NCBI's taxonomy places the organism in Eukaryota, Metazoa, Mollusca, Gastropoda, Planorbidae. The record is from RefSeq and is a predicted model, not a curated record. The transcript is spliced from 6 exons.